UACGUAGGGUGCAAGCGUUAAUCGGAAUUACUGGGCGUAAAGGGUGCGCAGGCGGAUAUGUAAGUCAGUGGUGAAAUCUCUAGGCUUAACCUGGAAAUUGCCGUUGAUACUAUAUAUCUUGAAUGUUGUGGAGGUAAGCAGAAUAUGUCAUGUAGCGGUGAAAUGCUUAGAUAUGACAUAGAAUACCUAUUGCGAAGGCAGCUUACUACGCAGAUAUUGACGCUCAUGCACGAAAGCGUGGGGAUCAAACAGG
This 253-nucleotide ribosomal RNA is filed under the name uncultured bacterium. RNAcentral's name for it is "partial 16S ribosomal RNA". It matches the Rfam family "Bacterial small subunit ribosomal RNA", at positions 524 to 776 of the family's 1533-position model. The record is from RNAcentral.